Molecule: ribosomal RNA, 460 nt
Filed under: uncultured bacterium
Lineage: Bacteria
Description: partial 16S ribosomal RNA
Rfam family: Bacterial small subunit ribosomal RNA
Source: RNAcentral
CCUACGGGAGGCUGCAGUGCGGAAUAUUGGUCAAUGGACGAGAGUCUGAACCAGCCAAGUCGCGUGCAGGAUGACUGCCCUAUGGGUUGUAAACUUCUUUUAUAUGGGAAUACACUGUUCCACGUGUGGGCUUUUGUAUGUACCCUAUGAAUAAGGAUCGGCUAACUCCGUGCCAGCAGCCGCGGUAAUAAGGAGGAUCCGAGCGUUAUCCGGAUUUAUUGGGUUUAAAGGGCGCGUAGGUGGAUUGUUAAGUCAGUUGUGAAAGUUUGUGGCUCAACCGUAAAAUUGCAGUUGAAACUGGCAGUCUUGAGUACAGUAGAGGUGGGCGGAAUUCGUGGUGUAGCGGUGAAAUGCUUAGAUAUCACGAAGAACUCCGAUUGCGAAGGCAGCUCACUGGACUGCAACUGACACUGAGGCUCGAAAGUGUGGGUAUCAAACAGGAUUAGAUACCCCAGUAGUC